Molecule: ribosomal RNA, 274 nt
Filed under: uncultured bacterium
Lineage: Bacteria
Description: partial 16S ribosomal RNA
Rfam family: Bacterial small subunit ribosomal RNA
Source: RNAcentral
AUACAGAGGGUGCGAGCGUUAAUCGGAAUUACUGGGCGUAAAGCGCGCGUAGGCGGCUUAUUAAGUCAGAUGUGAAAUCCCCGGGCUCGACCUGGGAACUGCAUCUGAUACUGGUAAGCUAGAGUUUUGGAGAGGGAAGUAGAAUUUCAGGUGUAGCGGUGAAAUGCAUAGAGAUCUGAAGGAAUACCAGUGGCGAAGGCGACUUCCUGGCCAAAAACUGACGCUGAGGUGCGAAAGCGUGGGUAGCAAACGGGAUUAGAUACCCUAGUAGUCC